CAAUAGCGUAUAUUAAAGCUGUUGCGGUUAAAAAGCUCGUAGUUGGAUUUCUGUCAAGGACAACUGGUCCGCCCUCCGGGUGAGCACAUAGUUUGGUCUUGGCAUCUUGCUGGAAUCUGUUGCUGCACUUGACUGUGUGGCGCAGUGGCCAGCACUUUCACUUUGAGGAAAUUGGAGUGUUUCAAGCAGGCACAUGCCUUUGGACACAUUAGCAUGGAAUAAUUAGAUUGGGUUUUAGCUCCAAUUUGUCGGUUUCUGGAGCUGAGGUGAGAAUUAAUGGGGAUUGUUGGGGGCAUCCGAAUUUAGCCGUCAGAGGUGAAAUUCUUGGAUUUGUUAAAGACGGACUACUGCGAAAGCAUUUGCCAAGGAUGUUUUCAUUGA
RNAcentral lists this ribosomal RNA (381 nucleotides) under uncultured eukaryote. Its description in RNAcentral is "partial 18S ribosomal RNA". It matches the Rfam family "Eukaryotic small subunit ribosomal RNA", at positions 592 to 976 of the family's 1831-position model. The record is from RNAcentral.